This is a long non-coding RNA of Sander lucioperca (pikeperch), 174 nucleotides long. RefSeq lists it as uncharacterized. The transcript is spliced from 3 exons. The record is from RefSeq and is a predicted model, not a curated record. NCBI's taxonomy places the organism in Eukaryota, Metazoa, Chordata, Actinopteri, Perciformes, Percidae.
AACAGAAGACGUCUGUUACGGACAAAUAGUGAACAAAGACAAGAAGUCAAACAGGAAGAGAGAGAGAGAUCCAGCUGCAGUCUCCUCAGCAGUGAGAGGAGCAGAAGACGUCAGUUAUGGACAAAUAGUGAUCAAAUCAAACAGGACCAGAGAGUCUCCAGCAGAGCCAGAGGU